CAGUAAUCCCAUGGUCAUUGAACCAGGUUUUGGUACUUUUGGCCGUGUGGGCAGACAAGAGAAGAUAGAGUU
This is a long non-coding RNA of Etheostoma spectabile (orangethroat darter), 72 nucleotides long. RefSeq lists it as uncharacterized. NCBI's taxonomy places the organism in Eukaryota, Metazoa, Chordata, Actinopteri, Perciformes, Percidae. The transcript is spliced from 3 exons. The record is from RefSeq and is a predicted model, not a curated record.